RNAcentral lists this transfer RNA (74 nucleotides) under Streptomyces anulatus. RNAcentral's name for it is "tRNA-Thr". It matches the Rfam family "tRNA". From Rfam's summary of the family: Transfer RNA (tRNA) molecules are approximately 80 nucleotides in length. Their secondary structure includes four short double-helical elements and three loops (D, anti-codon, and T loops). Further hydrogen bonds mediate the characteristic L-shaped molecular structure. tRNAs have two regions of fundamental functional importance: the anti-codon, which is responsible for specific mRNA codon recognition, and the 3' end, to which the tRNAs corresponding amino acid is attached (by aminoacyl-tRNA synthetases). tRNAs cope with the degeneracy of the genetic code in two manners: having more than one tRNA (with a specific anti-codon) for a particular amino acid; and 'wobble' base-pairing, i.e. permitting non-standard base-pairing at the 3rd anti-codon position. RNAcentral also lists the same sequence under 15 other names. The record is from RNAcentral. Lineage: Bacteria; Bacillati; Actinomycetota; Actinomycetes; Kitasatosporales; Streptomycetaceae.
GCCUCCUUAGCUCAGCUGGCCAGAGCGCCGCCCUUGUAAGGCGGAUGUCGUCGGUUCGAAUCCGACAGGGGGCU